This 492-nucleotide ribosomal RNA is filed under the name uncultured bacterium. RNAcentral describes it as "partial 16S ribosomal RNA". It matches the Rfam family "Bacterial small subunit ribosomal RNA", at positions 29 to 507 of the family's 1533-position model. The record is from RNAcentral.
AGUGAACGCUGGCGGUAGGCCUAACACAUGCAAGUCGAACGGCAGCACAGUAAGUGCUUGCUCUUACGGGUGGCGAGUGGCGGACGGGUGAGGAAUACAUCGGACUCUACUUUUUCGUGGGGGAUAACGUAGGGAACCUUACGCUAAUACCGCCUACGACCUACGGGUGAAAUCAGGGGAUCUUCGGACCUUGCGCGAUCGAAUGAGCCGAUGUCGGAUUAGCUAGUUGGCGGGGUAAAGGCCCACCAAGGCGACGCUCCGUAGCUGGUCUGAGAGGAGGAAGAGCCACACUGGGAGUGGGAGACGGUCCAGGCUCCGACGGGAGGCAGCGGUGGGGAAUAUUGGACGAUGGGGGCAAUCCUGAUCCAGCCAUACCGCGUGGGUGAAGAGGGCCUUCGUGUUGUAUAGCCCUUUUGUUGGGAAAGAAAAGCAGCAGGUUAAUACCCCGCUGUUCUGACGGUACCCAAAGAAUAAGCACCGGCUAACUUCGUG